CGGGUGAGUAACACGUGGGUAACCUGCCCAUAAGAGGGGGGAUAACAUCCGGAAAUGGGUGCUAAUACCGCAUAGUUUCUUGAUCGCAUGAUCGGGAAGGAAAGACGGCCUUUGUGCUGUCGCUUAUGGAUGGACCCGCGGCGUAUUAGUUAGUUGGUGAGGUAACGGCUCACCAAGACGAUGAUACGUAGCCGACCUGAGAGGGUGAUCGGCCACAUUGGGACUGAGGCACGGCCCAAACGUCCUACGGGAGGCAGCAGUAGGGAAUCUUCCGCAAUGGACGAAAGGUCUGACGGAGCAACGCCGCGUGAGUGAAGAAAAGGGUUUUCGGAUCGUAAAACUCUGUUGUCAGAGAAGAACAAGUUGGAGAGUAACUGCUCCAGCCUUGACGGUAUCUGACCAGAAAGCCACGGCUAACUACGUGCCAGCCGCUGC
RNAcentral lists this ribosomal RNA (435 nucleotides) under uncultured bacterium. RNAcentral's name for it is "bacterial SSU rRNA". It matches the Rfam family "Bacterial small subunit ribosomal RNA", at positions 103 to 518 of the family's 1533-position model. The record is from RNAcentral.